GCGCGAGUGGUGAAAUUGGCAGACACGCUAGAUUUAGGCUCUAGUGCCUUUGGUAUGAGGGUUCGAGUCCCUCCUUGCGCA
This 81-nucleotide transfer RNA is filed under the name Mycoplasmopsis columbina SF7. RNAcentral's name for it is "Mycoplasma columbinum SF7 tRNA". It matches the Rfam family "tRNA". Rfam says of the family: Transfer RNA (tRNA) molecules are approximately 80 nucleotides in length. Their secondary structure includes four short double-helical elements and three loops (D, anti-codon, and T loops). Further hydrogen bonds mediate the characteristic L-shaped molecular structure. tRNAs have two regions of fundamental functional importance: the anti-codon, which is responsible for specific mRNA codon recognition, and the 3' end, to which the tRNAs corresponding amino acid is attached (by aminoacyl-tRNA synthetases). tRNAs cope with the degeneracy of the genetic code in two manners: having more than one tRNA (with a specific anti-codon) for a particular amino acid; and 'wobble' base-pairing, i.e. permitting non-standard base-pairing at the 3rd anti-codon position. Lineage: Bacteria; Bacillati; Mycoplasmatota; Mycoplasmoidales; Metamycoplasmataceae. The record is from Rfam by way of RNAcentral.